GCCAAGCAGUGCCAACGUACAACACCUUCCGAGCUAAUGGACCACAUACAAUCUCCAAACGAAUUUCGUGUUGAGGAGCAGAUGUAAUCUCGAAUUAUCUGUAAAUAGUUAUUGUUACUGAAAUCUCCAUGUUUUCUUAGAACUCACCGUUUCAAGGAUCGAUUGAAAUGUGGUACGAGACUUUUCGUCUGUGAAAGCAAAGCACUCAGAAUCGGAAUUUGCUCCGAUAAAGACGUAUAGUAGAUACUUUUGUGGGAGACGUUGGAAACAUGGGAGCACUGAUUUGAUGGAUGAAGUAUCGAUUGACUUUGAUAAUGAAUUAUCUCCAUAUAUUUGAAGAUUAUUAUUAAGAAUUGUGAUGUUGACACUCCUAAAAUUUGAUGUUCUUUUGGUUAAUAAAAUGAAAAUUUUUACCGAA
Molecule: non-coding RNA, 418 nt
Organism: Caenorhabditis elegans
Lineage: Eukaryota; Metazoa; Nematoda; Chromadorea; Rhabditida; Rhabditidae
Source: Ensembl